AAAGUCGUAACAAGGUUUCCGUAGGUGAACCUGCGGAAGGAUCAUUACCAAAUAUCCAAUCAAUAUUGGUUUUAAACCAAACUAUACACCUGUGAACUGUUACUGUCUCUGGCAGUGGCUGCUCUACGGUCCAGACUAUAUGUCAAGAUCGAGGAGUUAGUGCUGUCAGAAUAUUUUAACCUGACUUUUUAUUGAGCCUUAUUUAUCAUUUGAUUGACGAAAUUAAAUACAACUUUUGACAACGGAUCUCUUGGUUCUC
Molecule: unclassified non-coding RNA, 259 nt
Filed under: Basidiomycota sp.
Lineage: Eukaryota; Fungi; Basidiomycota
Description: partial contains small subunit ribosomal RNA, internal transcribed spacer 1, and 5.8S ribosomal RNA
Rfam family: Eukaryotic small subunit ribosomal RNA (bases 1-47)
Source: RNAcentral